Molecule: ribosomal RNA, 468 nt
Filed under: uncultured bacterium
Lineage: Bacteria
Description: partial 16S ribosomal RNA
Rfam family: Bacterial small subunit ribosomal RNA
Source: RNAcentral
GACGAACGCUGGCGGCGUGCUUAACACAUGCAAGUCGAACGGAAAGGCCCUGCUUUUGUGGGGUGCUCGAGUGGCGAGCGGGUGAGUAACACGUGAGUAACCUGCCCUUGACUUUGGGAUAACUUCAGGAAACUGGGGCUAAUACCGGAUAGGAGCUCCUGCUGCAUGGUGGGGGUUGGAAAGUUUCGGCGGUUGGGGAUGGACUCGCGGCUUAUCAGCUUGUUGGUGGGGUAGUGGCUUACCAAGGCUUUGACGGGUAGCCGGCCUGAGAGGGUGACCGGCCACAUUGGGACUGGGAUACGGCCCAGACUCCUACGGGAGGCAGCAGUGGUGAAUAUUGCACAAUGGGCGGAAGCCUGAUGCAGCAACGCCGCGUGCGGGAUGACGGCCUUCGGGUUGUAAACCGCGUUCGCCUGUGACGAAGCGUGAGUGACGGUAAUGGGUAAAGAAGCACCGGCUAACUACGUG